RNAcentral lists this ribosomal RNA (330 nucleotides) under uncultured Actinomycetes bacterium. RNAcentral describes it as "bacterial SSU rRNA". It matches the Rfam family "Bacterial small subunit ribosomal RNA", at positions 28 to 351 of the family's 1533-position model. The record is from RNAcentral. Lineage: Bacteria; Bacillati; Actinomycetota; Actinomycetes.
GACGAACGCUGGCGGUGUGCUUAACACAUGCAAGUGGAGCGACGAACCAGGGCUUGCCCUGGGGCAGAGCCGCGAACGGGUGAGUAACACGUGGGUAACCUACCCCGAUGACUGGGACAACCCGAGGAAACUCGGGCUAAUACCGGAUGUGCUCGGAGUUCACGAGAACUUUGAGUAAAGGAAGCUUCGGCCUCCGCAUUGGGAGGGGCCCGCGGCCCAUUAGCUAGUUGGUGGGGUAAUGGCCUACCAAGGCUGCGAUGGGUAGCUGGUCUGAGAGGACGAUCAGCCACACUGGGACUGAGACACGGCCCAGACACCUACGGGUGGCUG